UAAUCGGCAUGGACGAUUUCACGAAAAGCGGGCAUAUUAGAAGUCAUGGAAACUGGUUCGAUACAAGGCGCGAUUGUCGGUGCGUUUUUUGCGCUCGUUGGCCUUCUAAUGAUCGUGUUUCACAAGCAAGUCAGAGAAUUUGAUGAGAGCAUUUUUCAGGGGCUUCCGGGGCUCCUAACGCGGUUUCACCCGCGCGGCCAAAUGCUCACCAUCUUCAUCGUCGUAUUCGGCGCGUUGUCCUUUCUCGGCGGGCUCACAGUACUGCUGGUUAACUUUGUCGAGCCUUGAACAUCAGCUCUGAUCGAUACCGCAUUGACACCCGCCGGAGCCUUGUAGUAGCGUCGAAAUCGCGAUUUAUGCAACCAACUUACUGCCCGCCCAUCCCCCACACCG
This 393-nucleotide unclassified non-coding RNA is filed under the name uncultured fungus. RNAcentral describes it as "sequence contains ITS1". Lineage: Eukaryota; Fungi. The record is from RNAcentral.